GAAAAUGGGUGAGGAUCACAGUGCCAAAGCUUGCAGCCUAAGGUUAUCAACAUUGAUGAAGAGGCUGCUGGUAAUUCUUCCGGUGAAGAUAUUAACGCCACGAAAGCUUAAAUGUAAUUGAUUAAAGGAAGAAGCGCUUGCUUUGCUUGAUGUGCUAUUCGUUUAUGAUCUUUUCCUGGUUUUGUUGUGAGAUGUUUCUCUUUGGAUUUUCUGUUUAUUGUACUUUGAUGGGUUUUUGAGGAUGACUUGUAUGUAUUAACAACAAUUAAGUGCUUUUUAUAUAUCCCUAGUCCUACAGCACUAAAAAAGAAAUUAAUACGCUUGGUUUAUUGUUAAUAAAAUAUAUAUAUAUAUAUAUAUAAGCGGACGCUGUAUAACAAUAGACACACGGCGCAUACAUAAAAUGUAAAUAAUUUUUAAAUAUUAAACAUUUAAAAUAGUCAAGCAUAUUAACAAUUUACAAUUUAGAUUAUAUGUAGACGAAAUAAUGGUAAUAACAAUAAAGUACUUUUUAUAAAGUCCUACAAUAGUAAAAGAAUUAAUGAGCUUGGUUUUUAUUAAUAAAAACCAACAGAAACAACACCCGAUUUAAAAAAAUUACAUACACAAAGACACCCGAUUUAAAAAAAUAAUUACAAUGCUAACAAUAAAAUAAUUCAAUCGUCCCCUGAUCAAUCAUCAAAAAUCCAUUUGUUAUCUAUUUCAACAAGAGGUAUAUGGGUUAACAAGUCCCAAUAUUGUCCUCCAUCCUUUCUGCACUUCUCUGCUAUCAACGAACAUCCAUAGAUCCAUAAUUGCAAAAGUGAGGAAGGCAGGCCCUUCUCCGGAAAGUAUUUGAGCUUGGGACAAUCCUUGAGAUAUAAACGAGUGAGGUUUUGAAGAUCAACAAUUGAAGAAGAUAGGCGUUCCAGAUUUGGAAAAGCUUCAAUCGACAGAGAUGUUAGAGAGGCAGGAAGAGGAAGCGCGGUCCCUAAUCUUUUGUCCUCUAGUGCAAAUGACACCAUGUCGUCAUCACAUCCUUUGAUUGUGAGUUCUUGCAGAGAGAAGAAUCUGUGAAAUCCCCGGCCCCGCUCAAUCAUUGACUUCCAAAUCUCCAUAUUACCCCAAAUACAAAGUGACCGAAGGUUGGUGGGAAGGCCAUCUUCUUCAAGGCUUGGAAGCUCACCUCCUAUUCCUAUUGUUAAGUAUUGAAGAGUGCUCAGAUUAUGCAAUCCCUUGGGUAAGGCCUCUAGUCUCUUACAAUCAUAUAUCCGCAGCUUAGUGAGUUUCGCACAAGGCAAUCCCCCUUCGGGAAAGGACACUAGAUUUCCACACAACUCAAUUGUAAUCUCUUGAAGCAGCCGGAGAUUAUGUAAACCACUCGGUAAAAUCUUCAGAUUUUCACAAUUAAUAAUACUGAUUGUUUCAAGAGAUGUGUUGUUGUCCAACCUUUCUGCUAUUGACUCCAGCUUUGAACAUCGCCAAACUAAAAGGGACUUAAGAGACGGAGGUAGAUUGCCAACUUCAAGGGACUCAAGCGUGGCAGGUAACUCGUUUUUUGAAAAUAUACAUGUCAGUGAUGGACAAUUGAAAACAAACAACUCCUCGAGAAGAGAUGAGGUGUACCUUCCGCUGCUGCUGCUACACUGGAUGCCCUCUUCCACUGUCAAAGUCCUUAUAUUAUCGCAACACCAGAUCGUCAACCCCUUAAGGCUCGAUGGUAGCUGGACAGCAGCAAUAUAUGUCAACGAAUGGCAGUCCUCAAUAUUCAAGAUCUCGAGAGACGAAUUGGUGUCGCACAUCCAUGCCUCUGGUAACGAUUUCAGUGCAUCACAAUGCAUAAUCUUAAUUUUCUUCAACUUGGAAGGCAGAGCAACCUCAGGAAAGGAAACAAGGGAACUGCACUUGUAGAUUUCUAUCUCUCUCAAGGAACUGAGGCUGAGCGAUGAUUGUGGCAGCUUCACAAGGCCUUCGCAAUCUCUCAAUUCUAGAUAUUCAAGUCUGCAUGACAACUCGCAGAGCUGCUGUUGUUGGUCUUUCUCUUCCUCCGCCACCAAGGAUUGAAGUUUGGGACAGCUGUCAAUCGUCAGGCUUUUGAGAGAGCAAAUGUCUUGCAGUAAUUCGUUAUGACUCGUCCAUAUAUAUGUCUGCUCUUUCAUAUUUUCUAUCUCCAAUUCUUCCAAUUUUGGUAGUUGCGGCUUCAAUGGCCCUGCAAGAAACACUUGAUUUGAUGUUUCUCGACAAACCACCGAAUUCUGUGACCCGAGAUGAUCAGUUGCACUUCUCCACACAACCUUUUUACAUCCACCAAUUUCAAAUUUGCAAAGAGCUGGAAGACUUGCAACUGAAACUAGCAAUUCUUCACAUCCUUCAAUUACAAGUAUCUCCAAUGCGGGAAGGUGUUCUGGAAAUGUUCCUUGCAGCUUAGAACAGCUUAAAAUGUGAAGCUCUCUCAAUUUAGGAAACCGUUCAACUCCUUGACUAGAUCCAUGAGGAAUCCAGUCUUCCCACUCUUGCAUGUCUUCAAAACGAAGAGUCUCCAAGCAUGGAAAUGGAAUUGGAGCGUCAUUCCCAUAGAACUCCGAACCCAAACUCCUUACUCUGCUCAUUCUACGUACUGCAAGAUGCUUUAGAGAGGGUAGUUGGCCGACUGACGGCAGGGCAGUACACAUGUCACAAUUUUCAAAUUUUAGGGUCACCAAAUUUGAGAAUGAGGAAUCUCCCAACCAAGUUGGAAAUUUCAUACCUCCAUAGCCUUUGAUACAAAAUUGCUCCAGAUUUGUAUGAGGUUUUAGCAUGUCAAGCACGCCCAUUUCAGUUUCUGCCUCCCUUGAAGAUGAACCAUCGGUACUGCAAGUCCAAUUAAGCGAUAAUUCUUUCAGAUUCUUCUUUCCAUCCAACCGAGCCUCCUUUGCAUCACCAAUGUCUUUUACAUUCUCUAAUUUUGAAAUUUUAAGUGUCCCCUGAAGAUGGAUCAAUGACUUUAGCUCUCGUAACCCAGAACCAUUGUCUUUUCCCACAGCAAAAUUACACAACGUCUGAAGACAAGUCAGCUUACCAAUUCCUAGUGGCAUUUCCUCCAACGAAUCUGUAUUUGAAUUAUUGAGAUGAUGCAAUUUGGUGAGGUUUCCCAUGUCUGCACACAACUUCUUCAGUAGCUUACAGCCCUCCAACAGAAGGGUGUGCAAAUUGUAAAGCUUGCUGACUGAUUCAGGCAGAGUUUUAAUCUCAGUUCCAGACAGGUUGAGGUACCUUAAAUACCUCAAAUCACCAACUGAAUCCGGCAGCUCGGAGAUGCGAUAUCCACGCAGAGAGAAGACCCUUAAGCUUUGGAGUUUGAACAACUUAGGAAGAAUGCUAUGAGCCAAGUAUCCACGCGCACUAUUUGACAACAUCAGUGGUAAAAAAUUUCGCAAAUGUUGGAUAUCAUACAAUUUCUCAAACCUUUUAACGCCGUCACAUUCUCCACAAAUAUAUGAUAGAUGACGAAGAUUUCUUGAAAAACUUUGCUGCUUGUUAACCUCUGAGAUAUACUCCAUUCUGAAGUACAUUUCCCCAGCAGCCCAUUGAGCAAGGUCGUUGACGAGGUCAUGCAUCACAAAUCGUGAUCUACUGCUGCUUGAUUGCUGGAAAAAAGAUCUUGCACGUAGCUCUUGAAAGAACUUUCGACCUAGAUCUUCACUAGGAUUCCCGCUCUCUCCGUGAUCCAAGAAACCCGAAGCACACCAUAAUAAAAUUAUCUCCUCCUCUUCAAAUUCGUAAUCCUUUGGUAACAAUGAGCAGUAUGCAAAGCAUUGUUUCAAAGUUGGAGGAAGAUAAUAAUAGCUCACUGCAAGGGCUGGUAUAAUGCGACAUCUCUCUUGUGGUAAUUCCCAUAUCUUGCUACUAAGCACAUCUUCCCACUCACGUCUGUCAUGUUUUCCACGUAAAAGUCCUCCCAGUGCUUUUGCUGCCAAGGGCAAGCCAUUGCAUUUUAUCACUAUCUUCUUGCCAAUGUCCUCCAAUGACUUAUGAGAACUGAAAUCUCUCGUUCCCAAAGAGUGCUGAGCAAACACAGACAGACAAUCCUCAGUUGACAAGUUUUUCAAUUCAUAAGCUUGAUCCGGGCUCAUGAUUUUUGCAACCUCUUGAUUGCGAGUAGUGACAACAAUCUUACUUCCCUGUGCGCCAGCUUCAAAUGGAAGGCUGAGGUCGACCCAAUCAGUGUAAUCCUCAUUCCACACGUCGUCCAAAACUAGCAAAAACUUCUUUCCAAACAGGUGUUUCUUCAAUUUCUCUUGAAGCAAAUUUAAGUCCUGAUUAUCCACAUUCUGGUCAGCAGCAAUGGAAAUUAGGAUUGAUUUUGUAAGCCUGAAAACAUCAAAAUCAUCAGAGACGCAAGUCCAUGCCUUGAGAUCAAAAUGAUCCUCCACCUGCUUAUCAUUAUAGACAAGCUGAGCAAGAGUGGUUUUACCCAGCCCGCCCAUACCUAUAAUAGGAAUAACAGAGAAUCCACCAUCAUUUCUUGAAUCAUCCUUCAACAACAAUUCAACAAUUUCCUUCUUUUCUGUUUCCCUGCCAGAGACCUUGGCUUCAUUCACCAAAGAGGUUGUCUCUAGCCUUUGACUGGCUUUUUUGGACCCUCCAGCUGAACUUACGUUCAAACCCAGCGAGUCUUUCUGUGUCACAAUAUCUUGAAAUCGGUCGUUGAUCUCUUUGAUUUUGGACAUCAUGGCGUAAUCGAACUGAAUCGAUUGUGGAGUAAAAGUGGUGCAGCAAGUAGGAAUGAGCUUCCGAAACUUACUUGUUCUUGUACGACUGCUACUGGGUUGAUCCUGAGCAGCAGCUGGAUCUCCAUUUCCAAGCAGCAACUUCCUCCGUAAAGCCUCAGUUUGAAACUCAUCCAACAAGUCUUCAACAUCAUAAGCCAAGUCCUGAAGCUUGCCAAGCCACUUCUUCACAAACUGAUUAGUCGUCUUCUUCUCCUCAGCAUCAUCAAGCACCGCCUUGAUCAUCUCCAACAUAUUCGCCCACUUCAUCAGAUCGGCCUUGAUUUGCUCUUGGCGUGCAAAAAACAGAAUCCCCUCUGAAGCUAACUUAUUGACCAGCAAAUCAACGGACGCCUUAAGGAUUGCCUCUCCGAUGAUUGACAUUUUUUUUUCUCUCUUCUCUCUUUUUUUUUUUUUUUUUUGGGGCAAAGAAAGAAGCAGAAUUUUGAGUUUUGAAAAGCAAAAUGAGAAAAUUGAACAGAAACUGUGAAGGGUCAAGCAAAAUGCAGGUAACAAGUCUUCCACUUGUUGUUUAUUCCAGGAAAGGGAAAAUAAAAACAGAGCCCACCACCCAUUAAUAAUUUAGCAAUUUACCAAUCACCAACCACCACCACUUGUUACCAGAUUCAAUAAAUAUAAAAUUGCACGUUGAUAUUUGUAGGGCCAAGCAACAUUAAUCCAAUGUCUGGUAAAUGCUGAAUAAAGAGGAAAAUGGAAUGUAUCUACUACGGACCUUCGCUUUACAAGUCUUCAAAGUCAUAAUAAUUACUUUAUUUAUUGAAUUAAUUUUCAUGCUAAAAUGAAGACUUAAAAGUAUACUACAAUAUUUUAUAAUCACAAUGAUAAUUUUAACAAUCAUGUUAUAUUAAUGUCGUGUAAAAAUAAUUUAUAAUAAAAUUUUAGCCGAAUAUAGUAAAUUCGACUUAUUUAUUACAUAUAUAUAUUUCAUAAAAUAAUAACACAAUUAAUAUGUUAUCAAUCAAAUAGAAACUCUAAUGAUUGAAUAAUGAUAUUACUGGUAUUUAUAAAUUUCUAAGACGCGAUAAUUAUGUGGGGGACAUAUAUUUAUGGUUAUAGAAAAUGGCGGUAAAAAUGGUACAAAUCUAAUAUAAUAAAAAUGUAUAAACUGUAGUAAAUUAAUGUUUACUUCAAAGGACGUUAUAAAUAUCGCUUUCCUUAAUACGUUAUUUGCUCCCAUUGAUUGAGUUAUGCAUAUGGAUUAAGCAAAUAUGCAUCUAAGAUACAAUAAAGCAUUGAUUUGUUUGUUUACGUUUUACAUCAAUGAAAGCAACACAUGAAUAUUCUUGAAUGUUAUAAGCCUAACAAGAAUUAAUAUAUUAUUCUUACAAGAAAAUAAUAUGUUAGAUAUUUGAUGCAUAAAAAAUAAAUGUUAAUCGAUGAAAUUCUUUUAAAGAAAGAGGACUACCAAAAAAAAUGGUGUAGGAUAAUUUUAUUCAUGUCUAAUUGACAUUUAUUUUUUAUGAAUGUAGGGGUAUUUUGGUAAUUUUAUGGACACAAGCGUUAUAUGUUGUGGAUAGAUGUUCGUUUUGAACUACAUUGCGUGUGGUUAGUCGUAUUUCACAUUUAUGAAAAGUAAUUAUGUUGUUUCCUUGAUUAGGAGAAACUGCGAAUGAGAACCAAGCCGUUGAUAUGAACAAUAGUCGAGUUUAAGUAUUGUCACUAUGAGUGAAAUAUGCAAACCCAUUUUCAUAUUUUAUUAUGAUUUUAGAGUGUAGUAAACCAUAUUUGAAAAAUAAGAUUUUAAUGCUCUAAUUUAAUGAUUUCUAGAAUAAAUUUGAUUUACGUAUUGGUACAUUAUUCAAAAUUUUAUGAUUAUUGGUUUUCCCUAUCGAUUUUGAGUAAUGCAUAAUGGUACUUUGAAGAAAAGAAAAGUAAAUUUAAUGUUAAUGGAAAGAAAAGAAGACUUAAUGUACGAUUAAAAAUGUGUUAUUUAUGUGUAUAAAAAUUUGUUAUUAAAAAUCAUGAGACAAGACCUUCUCCAUUUAGUUACAAUGAUACAGAUAAGAUGAGAGCCCUUUGGGACCCCUCUGAACACAUAGAGAGGUUAAUAGGUUGUGGUUUUUAGCGCUUUUGCCCUUUGGAGGCUUAUGCAUGCUGUAUGAUAACAAAAAAAGAUUUAAGAUACAGAUAAGAUAGAGGCUUUUGGGUCUGUCUAAGUGCACAUAGAAGCUUGGGUGCUUUUGUCCUUUAAGGACUAUUUUAUGCAUGUAGUAUGAUGAGAUAUGAUGAUAUACAUGAGAUACUUCAUUGAUCUAUCCUUUGUAGCUGCAGGCAUGACAAUGCCCGCAUAGUAUGUCAUUGCACUGCCCAUAUGCGGUCCAGGUACGACAAGAUCAUUUACUUGUUUAGUGACAGUUUAAGAAUAAAGUAUUCUAUGUUAUCUUUUGAUAUGAUUUUCAUGUGUAUUACGUACAGUAUAAUGUAUUCUUCACUGACAAUUGUUUGAUUUAAAGUUUGAAUAAUUUAACUAUGUGCUUACUUAUAGAUUAGUAAAGUUGGUAUGUCGAAAAAAUAUGAUCAUCUUUAAAGUAAGUUAUUUUCAAAAGAUGUUAUCCACUCACUGAGCUUACUAAUUUUUAUAUUAACAUUAUUUUAUUAUAUUUUUCCCCCCGUAGAAGGAUGCAGGUACACCAAUCGACCGACCGACUGUAGUUAUUUUGAAUUUUUGUUCAUGUGAUGGCACCAGGAGAAAUAGAUGGUAUUAUGCAUUUUGAUCAUCUCAUUUUGGAAUGUAUAAUUGUAUUAUGAUUUGAUGAUUAUGGAUGUUUAAUAUAUAUUGAAAUCAGAUAUAUUAUAAUAUUUUGAUAUUGGAGAUGUUUGGGUGUUAUUUGGUAUUUUGGUUGAGAAGGUUGAUUGAUGGAACUGCUUAUAUAUUAAACUAUGUUAGGAGUGCUUGUAUAAAUUUGCAAUUUUGGGAUUGUUAUAUUUAUAAGGGAAAUAAUUACCGAAUUUUUGGUAGAAUUAAAUUAUUAUCAGUCAAGUUAGACGAUAUCAAAUGGACCCGCAUGGAGUUCGAGGCGAGUCGUUUCAAAUCAAGUCCUUUAUAAAGCUCACUCACCCCUUGUUAGCUCUCAUUCGUUACAAGCAUCUAUCUAUCAAUAUAUCAAUCAAUGCUUACAUUUUCUUUCCUCUUAUACAUCAAAAUGAAGUUCAUCUUGGCAACCUUGCUGUGGCAUUAUUAUUGUCAAUAGUAUAGAACGUUUACAAUUAUCAUCUUCUGGUUGACCAAACCUGUAGCGACGUUCCAUUCGGAGCCAACUGUGUGGCCUCAGUCAGCGCGAAACUCUCUUUAAAACCCGAUGUUGAAAUUAAACCAAAAUGAAAUCCUCGGCGCAGCAAUAACUGUACUGAAGGAAUGCGUUAUUCAAGCUAGGAAAGACUAUUCUAAAGCGCAUGAAAUUAGUAAAGACAACUAUGAACAGAGCGUGCUCAUGGCUUCCAUUGAAGAAUACAAUAAAGUCGUAGAAGCUUGCGACAAAGCAAUUGAACCAGCUAAGGUUGGCGAUUUUGACGUCGCAAAAACGGCAGCUGAUGAAGCCGACCUGAGCGUUUCUCGCGCUGACGCAUACAACACCGAGAACGCGAACCUGAAACAUGUCAAUUUGAACUUGAAAAUUGCUUCUAAAAAUACAGUGGCCAUAGCCAUCAAGGCUCUUAGUAAUCCUGGUGCUGAAAGCGAAAAUUAAAAUAAGGAGAGUACAAUUACUUAAUUUAAUUGAUCAUGAUUUCAUAUUUCUUUCAUCAUCGAUCUUUGUCUUUUUUAUCUUUUUUGAUAUGCAAACCAAUUAUAUUCUUUUUUAUGAUAUUGUUGGAGAGAAUAAUAAUAAUAAUGUGUGCACUUUGAAGCAGCUUUCUGCUUAUGUUGUAAUGAAUAAUUUUUUAAUUGGUUGAUUGAAUUAUUUGAUGCUUUUAUUUAUUUAAUUACGUGAUGAUCAUGCAUGACUAAUUAAGUGGAUUCAUAGAAUUGGAAAAAUCAAAUAAUGACAUAAACAAAAUAAUAAAUCAAAACGAUUAAUUGAUUGUCUUCAUGUGUGUUAAUCAACAAAUGCAAAGAUUAAUUAUCAAUUAAUCAAUACAUAAAUAUAUGUUGACUUAAUUUUUGUCAAUCAAUCAAAUUUUCUAAUCACAAUUGUAUCGUUUCUGCAAAAACUUUUUCUCACAAGGUAAUAGAUUGUAGUAUUUCAUACCAAAUUAAAAAUUGUCCGUGUUACUGAUGAAAAUCAUGAUAACAUUAUUAGAGAGCUUUUUUUUUUCUUUUUUCCCUUCCCUUUUUUUCUGUUUUGUCCUUUGUUUGAUUGGGCGUAAUGAAACAGAUAUAACAAGGGACCAAGCAUGACCUAUAUGUAUAUCUUCAUCAACAAACAAGGAACCAAUGGAUUGAAUUUGAUGUGUCACAGCACAAUAAGUUAAAUCUUAAAUUUGGACAGACAAGCAAAUAUAGAAGCAUCUAAUCCACCAAAGGAUAGACAUGGGACUUGACAUGAAAAUAAAUACAGACACAAACAUAAACAUUUACUCCUCCAAUGAUUGUUUCAAUAUCUUUAUCCUUGAUAUUUGCUCACUUUUAUAAAAUAUAAAUCUGCUGGUAAAUUUUUUGUACCUUAAACAGUUUUCUGACUUAUGAGAAAAAAACUAUUUUAAAAAAAUAUUGCAGAGAAAAAAAAAAAAAAAACCUGCUAAAGAGACAAAAUAAUGUCAGACGUGCAUUGGUUCUGGGCAUUCCGGCAUUGUUUCCUCAGGUGAAGCUGCCCAUAUGAAUGCUUGUUUACGACAUGGAAACACAUCGUGUGCUGCUGCUUCCAAUGCAUCAGACCUCACCUAUACUAACAACAACAAAUAGAUGAAUAAUCUAAUCAGAGGUGAUUGUACAUAUACCGACAAUAGGGUUUAUUUUAACUAUGACACAAUUGCACAACUAAUUCCCAUAUUAAGGCUCAAUUUAGGACUGGUUCGGCAAUUAAAAAGUGUUUCGUAAGGACUUUCAAUUAUGAUUUGGAAGUUAAAGAUAAUUUUACUCAACAAUUGUUUGAUGAAAUUGUAUUAGAUCUUGGCCAGGACUUGACCGAGUGUUUUCAAUCAGCUUUCUUUGGCUAGUCACUCAAGUUUAAGCCCUGUAAGUGGUAUGAACCUAAGAAAUUGAUUCAGGCUUUUUGCACCACCCCACAACUUACUAUUUUUUCAAAUAUAUUUACUUUAAAAAUCAGGGCAUCUUGAUAGGCACCCCUCCAUGUUAAGUUAAAUGAAUAUCGGUGGGUGAGGUUUAUAAUAAUAGACAGCAAUAAGAUACCACAACUUCUUUAUGGACAUGCAAUCCAUCGGUCGCAGCAGAACUAGCUGACAGCGCCUGCAGGGAACAUGCAAUUAUAUUUUGAUCAGUGUUCACGAAGCUAAAGCAGUGUAAAUAACAGAUCAUGGCUCAAUUAAUUAAUUACCUGAAGGUGAGUAAAUAAUUGAGAAUGAAAUUAUAUUAUUAAGCAAAGACAUAAGCUAAAUUACCCCAUUUAUCUGUUUGAAUCUCGUCUUAAGAGCAAAUGGCGGCACUGACGAGGCUUGCUCAGUUUCGCCCUGCAUGGCUGCAUGUCUGAUAAGAGUGGAAAAAUAGUGCCUUUAGCUAAAUCGUAGAAUGUUAAAUCUGAUGCUACUGAAUAUGGAGAGUGAUUCAUAUACACGGUCUUCAUGAAUAUAUAGUUGUUAAUUACAGGAGAAGUUGCAAUAUGAAGUUAAUUUGAAAUUUAUAUUUCUCACCUCGAAUAAUUUCUAGUAAAUCGCUGAUUCGAUAAGGUUAAACUUUCUUUAUGAUCAUCAUCAUCUUCUUGGUCUUCGCCUUCCGAUGUUCCUAUUUCUGAUGUUUCUCCACAUUUUCUUCCUCUUUUAACAACUUUCGUUGAAGAUUUUGACAGAAAUAUCAUUGUGAGAAGAGUAUUUCUAAAGUUUACAACUUGGAAAUGAGACCUUAUGUGAUAUGUACAUGAAGGAUAGAGUACAUGUCAGUAUUUAUAAGAAACAAUGUGAUGGUUUUAAAGAAACUAAAUAAAGUUUAUUAUUUAAUAAAAAGUCAAAUACAAAUCCCGAAGAAUCCGCUGUAUAAUCGGACAAAAUCUAGAAAACAUAGUCACUUUUAAUAAAAAGUUAAAUACAAAUCCCGAAGAAUCCGCUAUAUAAUCUGAUAGAAUCUAGAAAAUGGAGGUACAUGCAUUGCAAUAUCAUUACUUUGUACGACUGGAUUAUUUUUACAAAUUUUUUUCCAAAGAAACUAAUAAAAUUUAUUAUUUAAUAAAAAGUCAAAAUACAAAUCCCGAAGAAUCCGCUGUAUAAUCUGACAGAAUUUGGAAAACGGAGGCACAUGCAUGGCAAUAUCAUUACUUUGUACGACUGGAUUAUUUUUACAAAUUUUUAUCCAAUCCCUUGUUUGAUGCCUGUAAAUCAAUAUUUAAAUGUAGAGUUAUUUUGUUAUGUUAUUUGAUUUUAACUAUUAAUGUGAAUAUUGGAAUAUAUAUUUAUAUUGAACUAAUAAAAUAAUUGUAUAAAAACAUUUGAAUAAACUUAAUUAUGAAUUAUGAAUUCAUGAUGUAAGGUAGCGUUUGUUUUUUAAUCUAAAAUCUUAGUGAGUCUGAAUUUAGCUAAAAUCUGAAUAGAUUUGAAUUGCAUAUGUCUAAAUGGCAUGUUUGUUUUCUCUUUUUUGAUGUCUGAAUGUAAGUGACAUCUUUUUUUUUAUAAAUAAAAAAAAUCUGAAAUAUGAUUAUUUAACAUUUAUAUUCUUGUAAGAAUUAUUUAUACUUAUUAUAAAUUUUAAGAUUUAAAUAUGUGCACGUUACAAUUAAAAUCAAAGAUAUGUAGAAUUGAGUAAUUGAUCUUUAAAUAAAAAUAUUAUUAUAUUACUCCAAAUACAAAAUUGAAUCAAACUUAUUAUACUUCAAAAUUUAAAUUUAAUUUUAUAAUUUACAUCAUCUUUUUUACCAUUUAAGAUUGUAAAAGCCCAUUCGCCCAAACCUAGUCUUAAUUAGCUGUACUUAAGUGUAAAGGCCCAUAUGUUCUUAAGAAAUGUUAAGAGUUUUCUUAGACCCAUAAGUGAAUGGAUAUGUGUAAUGCCCUCAACUCCAAGCCAGAGUUAUAACUGUUGGCAGAUCUGUGUAAUCCUUUUAAAAUCGUUCUCUAAUUAUAUUAAAAGACAAAAUAAAUCUAAUUAAAUUCUUAUAUUUCUCUCUCUAUAAGUUUCUUUUUCUAAUGGAAAAAGGACAUCUACACCCCUAAAGUUUGAAAAAAUGAUCAUCAACACCCCUAUGUUUUCAAAGAUGGACACCAAGACUCCCUUUUGAUGAUUAUACCCUUUAUCUCUAUUAUCUCAAAAGAAUUAACUCUAAUAUUUUACAAUAAAUAGAAAUAUGNNNNNNNNNNNNNNNNNNNNNNNNNNNNNNNNNNNNNNNNNNNNNNNNNNNNNNNNNNNNNNNNNNNNNNNNNNNNNNNNNNNNNNNNNNNNNNNNNNNNNNNNNNNNNNNNNNNNNNNNNNNNNNNNNNNNNNNNNNNNNNNNNNNNNNNNNNNNNNNNNNNNNNNNNNNNNNNNNNNNNNNNNNNNNNNNNNNNNUAUUAGUAUGUGAGAAUGUUUUUAAUUGUAGAACGUAUUUUAUGCAAAUAUUUAUUUAAAAUCUUUACAAUAAAAAAAAUAUAUUAUUAAAAUAAUAUAAUAAAUUACAUAUUGAAAUAUUAAAUAUUUUAAUAUUUUUAGUCUACUGCAUAGAUUAUAUUAUUUAUAUGGUAUUUGUAUUUGCUAAAAAUUUUAAAGUCAGGUUUUUAGAAUAAUAGAGAUCAGAUAAGGGAUAUAAUCGCCAAAAGAAGGUCAUGGUGUCCCUCCUUGAAAACUUAGGGGUGUUGGUGACCAUUUCCCCAAAUCUUGGGGGUGUAGAUGUUCUUUUUCCUUUUCUAAUUCAUUACCCCCACACAACUACAGCAAACAACCAAAAUUUUGUGGGAUCUAUAGUUCAGGCAGAAGCGGCCGAAUGCUUCCGGGAACUCAGGCAGAUAGAACCUUGGUUGAUUUGUUUUUCUUCAUCUGAAAUUAUGCCUGAUGGCUAUCCUUUUAAUUGGUUUAAAUUCUUCUUUUUUCUUUGAGUUGUUGAUUUAUAGUGCCUUACAUGCAAAAUUCAAAAUUUCGGAUGAUGAUAAUCUUGUUUUAGAAGAGAUUUCUAGUUAUGGUAGCAGCAUUCUUGAUCGUGGCAUCACAAGCACAUGCUCUGGUUUGCUUAGUUUGCCUUUUGUCUCUGAUAUUUUCUUGGCAUUGUGGGAUAUUGUUUCUUUCUUUUUUUUUUUGGUUAUAGGAUUCGGAGAUAUUGUAUAUGUAUGACGAUGAUAUAAUAAAGUGCUUUUGAUAAAUUCACCUGGUCGGUUUACUUCACCAACCAUUAAUGAGCAAAUCCUCCCAGUGACCCUCAAACUCUUCUACACAAUUAUAAUAAUUUCAGUUUUAUAUAUAGAAAAAUGAACAGCUCUCAAAUAUAUUAUUUGAUAAUGACAAACAAAACAACUCACUCCAAUAAAUCUCGUAAUAAAUAAAUGGUCCAUAUUGCAAGUCUUUUUAGGACGCAUUCAAAAAGAAAACAUAAGGAAUGGCAUUGCAAGAAUAUGGAAUCAGAAUAACAGUGAUACAAAGAGAAAAAAAGGGGAUGGUCGGAUUGCUUUGUUUGCAAAAUUAUUGAUGCGGGGGUCUACUUGUUUUUAAUUCACUUUAUUAAUUAAUUAGCGAACCAAACAUGUAAUCAUUUGAAAAAGGAUCAUUGGCCCCAGCUUACAAAAGAUGAAUUUGUAAGACAUAUUAAUUUUGGUGAAAAUGUAGUGUUAUUAAGUUAUGAAUUCAUUAACUUAGAGGUAUUAAUAUUUACUUACGAUGGUGAUUAAUUUAUUUAACUUGUCAUAGUCUUCAAUUAACAAUGAAGUGAAAUCAAUUUAUGGAAAAAAAUAAUAAGUUUUUUACUUUUUAAGAUUUUAAUUCUUAGGAUUUCAUUUCGCUCUUUUUCGAUUAUUGACGUUGUCGAAGAAGGCAAUAAAAGCUUGUUGAAUUUCAUCAAAGGCUUGUAUCUCACCUCACAAAUUGGCAAUAUCGAUUGGCGUCUUUAUAGGUGAAGCCAUCACGAAUUUAUCACUCCUUUCAUAUGGAUACCCAUAAAUUUUAACCUUAUUUUAUUUUUGAUGCACAAUCUAACUUAACAAAAAUAGUAUUCAAAUUGUCACAAAAUGUUUUUUUUUUUUAAAUCAUAUACAAUAGUUAAUUUUUCUUCUUUUUUACUCCAGGAUCCAGCUCCAUACCCCUCUUUUUUGUCGUUGUCAUGCUCAGCCGUUAGAUUUUAAUUACGUUAACCUAACGGUUGGGAUUUGUAAAUGAAUAAUGAAGUUGUGUUUAGCUUCUAUUUGAGCCCAUUGCAUCUAAUUGGUUUUGUGGUUUUUUGUCUUUCUUCUCUGUAACGCUUGACUAGUUUUGAAAAUAUCGAUAGCCAUCGACUGGAAAUAUUAAAUGCACCGUUAUAUGGAUUUACGUUUCGCAAAUUGUGGCGCCAUGGCGGGAUGGUAAAAACUAUAAUCACGUGCCGUUAACAUUUACAUGGUUAAUGUCAUCGAGAUCACAUGGUUGUUAUUUAUGAAAAGAGAAUUGAUAGAAAUUUCGUUAAUCCACUAUUGCAACAAUAUAUUGUUAUAAAUUGCAUUGUUUCCCAUAUAACAAAUAUAAUAAAAUCUCGAUAAAUUAAUAGCUCUGGGACCAUGAAAUAAUUUAUUAAAAUUUAACGAAUAUUAAUUAUUCGAUAAAUAAAUAAAUUAUUAAUUUAUAAAAAUAUUUGUUAUUUUAGAAAAAUAUGAUGACGUUUAUAGUAUUUAUAUACCUUGAGUUGGAAUCUGUUAUGUUUUAUUUGAAUAAUACUUUUCUUUUAAGAAGAUUUUUUAAUAGUUAACUGCUUUAUAAUUUCAAACAAAGAAGUAGAUGAUAUUGACGUUGAAUAAUUUUCUGUCGCAAAACAACAAUACCAAUUAGGAUUUCUUUUCGCAUUACAAAAAGUCAAAGACGAGAUCUAAGUUAAAAUUAAUUUUAAAAAGAAGCAAACAAUGCUAAGAACGUAUUUUACACAAGCUAUAUGGACAUGUCAUAUGGAUUUCGUUUUUAUACUAGAUAAUUAUUAAUUUAUAUGAUAACAUAUUUCCUUCAAAUUAUAGUAUUUGAAUUUGAAAUUAUUUUUUUUAAAAAAAAAUCUAGGAUUACAAUAAUAGUCGUGAUUCGAUUGGUUUCGAUUUUUUAAGGAAAAAAAGUUGGGGAAAUAGACAAACAAGGAAGGAACAAGUUAAGCACAGCCAAUAAACAGGGGAAAGUGAAUGCUAUUGGUAAUGUCAAUAGCAUUGUUUCAUAUGAUGCACAAAUUACGUUUAUAACUUCUUUCAUAAUAUAAACACUCAUAAAUUUUACCCAAAUUAUCCAAAAAAAAAGAAGAAAAAAAUCAUGUAGUUAAUUUUUCUUCUUCUUUACUCCACUAUUCAACAAGAGUAUAAUAAAUUUUCUUCUUCUUUGCUCCAUUAUUCAAUAGGAGUAUAACAAACUAGGGAAAGGAGAAAUUAAGGAGAAAAUUAGGGUGAUUAUUGCAAUGAUAAGAACACAGGCAAGUGCUUAUUUCAGACACAUGCGUUGCAUUCAUUAAUUUGACCAAAAAUAAAUGAAUUUAUUUGUAUUUUAAUCAAAAUCGAGGGAUGUCAACAAAAUUGUUCCACUCCACGUAUUUAUCAUUUUCUCGUUAAGAAAAAAAAAUUUGCAUAAAGUUAAGAAACCAGUAGUCACUGAACGGGAGAAACAGAGUGAGGAGAGUUCAAAUUUCAAAAGAUGGAACCCGAAGAAGAAACCCUAACAACAAUCCUAGAAGAAGAAGAAUAUGAUGAUGAAGAUGCGGCCAUGCCCAAUGUUAAGCAAAACCUUAAAACAAAAACAAAAGACAACUCUUUGGACUCGAGCGAUGCCUCUGACUCCGACUCGGAUUCUGACUCAGAAGACGAAGCAAAACAGAACAUGGAGCUUCAAAACUAGAGUAUCAGCUAUCCAAUGAACCUUCCAAUUACGACACCCACGUUCAAGUAACUUCAAUACGCAUACUUAUUCCGUGAUUUUGUGGACACCCAUUUACUUGUUCUUUCUUAAUUGGUUAGCGAUAAAAAAUGGCUUUUUUUUCUUUAGUAUAUAAAGGUUUUGAGAAAAAUGGGUGAGAUAGAGAAGCUGAGACAAGCUAGGGAAGCGAUGAAAGAGAUUUUUUCCAUUGACUCCUGCUAGGUGGCAAGAAUGGGCGAGAGAUGAAGCCUCUAUUUCAACUGGGCCUCUGUCAUUUCCUUUUUGCAGUGGUUUUCGAGUUUUUGAACAAAUAUUUUUUCACUUAGAGAUAUAGAUGUUUAUGUUCGUCAUUUGCUAGUGUAAAAAGGAACAAAACCUGCUUAAAAGGUAUUAAAGAAAGAAAAAGAGAACCAAUUUGAAGAAGGGAAUACUUAUAGUGGGAGUUCUAUUCUUUGGGGUUUAAUUGAUGGGAGAAGAAACAACUUAUAUGUUUACAGAAUUAGACAUUUGAUUGCUGAGUUAGUUGAGUUGAGGAAGAUAAUUAAUCACAAUGUCUGAUGUUGUUUCUGUUGGCGUCAACUAAUUGUUAAGAUUUCAUACUUUCAUUCAACAAUGCAAUAGACUUUGGUUGGGUCCACCUUAGUUGGGUGUUCUGAGGAACCAAUGAGUGUCUUGAGAAAACUUGGGUGGAGUGUGGAUCAUUUUCAGGAUUCAGUUUCCAAGAAAGCAAAAAUGAAGUCGGAGUCGUAGUUUAAAUUAAUUUAUGUUUUUGUCUUUUUCUGUGAGCCCAGUGACUUUUGUUUUCACUUUGUUCUCUUUUGCUUCUUUCCCUCCUUUUCCUGCUGUUUCUUGACAAUCAAGCAGAUCAGGAUUAAGUGUUUACUUUUGGUGUAAUUAUUCACCCUAACUCGAAUAAUACAUAGGUUUAGUGCUAUCAAAAUAGGAAGUGAAUUAAUAUCUGAAGCUGACUUGGGAGUGGAAUGUGUGUUAGUAAAAAUAUGCUAUUAUGGUAGAUAGAAUUUGCAUUUUAGGUAAGACUAAAAUAAUUACCGCUGUUAAUUUAUUUCAAUAAGUUCGUACAUCAUUCGAUAAUAAGUCGAAGAUUUUAAUGGUUUUGUUUCCUGCAAAUUUGUCAUCAGUGCAUGGACAAAGUUCAAUGGAUGAACUUCUCUUAGUUAAUUCGAGUUCUGUAAGAAACACUAAUCUUGCCCUGUACUUUGGAGUAUUUUAAUAAUUGAUGUUAAGAUUUGCUAAUGUGAAAACGAAGAAAACCUGCUUAAAGGUAUUAAAGAAAGAAAAAGAGAACCAAUUUGGAGAAGGGAAUCCUUAUAGUGGGAGUUCUAUUCUUUGGGGUUUAAUUGAUGGGAGAAGAAACAGCUUAUAUGUUUACAGACAUAGACAUUUGAUUGCUGAGUUAGUUGAGGAAGAUAAUUAAUCACAAUGUUUGAUGUUGUUUCUGUUGGCCUCAGCUAAUUGUUAAGAUUUCAUACUUUUUUCUGGUUUUUCAUAACUGUGACCUAAAGCUUAAUGUAUACUUUGAUAAUUACAUAAUCGGUUUCUUGCUGAUAUUUGGCUUUAAUUUGUAGACCUGAGGCUCUUUUGGGAGUUGGGAAGAUUUACGAAAGAGGAGUUUCUGAUUAUCUGGUUUGUUCUCUUUAUGCCUACAGAAUUUGAAUUCACUGGUAAGCUUGAUUCACCUUGUUUUGAUUUACUACCAAGAGGUGUUAACAGUUCAUCAUGCACAAAAAGAGGUGGGGAAAAAAGAAAUCUUCUUGCUAUAUACAUAAAUUUAAUAGUUGAAUCAUUUUCAACCAAAGAAAUGUGCUGAAGAGCAGCAUUUUCGUUUAUAUCAAAGUUCAAUUGCAUCUUAUAUCAUCUGUUUCCAUCUCCUUUGUGGUAAAUAAAGUUCUUGAUAAUGACAAUAAGAAUCACAGAAGAAGUUGUUAAUUUCAUAUCUGGAGAUUUUCAUCAUAGUAGUUCAUUGAAAGUAAAGACAACUGAGUACUCCUUUUUCUGAUGCAGUCUGUCCCUCUUUGGUGUGUUUAUUCGAAAUUUGUGCAAGAAUAUGAUCCAUCUAUACGAGAAUGUGCCUAAUAAAAUAUCCCAAAGGUGCCUAAUACAGUGAAAUUAACAUAUUCAGCUCAUGAGAUUGCCGUUAUAUAUAUUGAAAAAGAAAUUAAUAUAAGAAACUGAAAAUUAAUUGACACUGGAUCAUGUUGGAUUGUCAGUUGUUAAUUAUGAUGGGAGUAUAAUCUUGGUCUUUUAAUUGUCAUCUAGGUAAUGCAUGUGCACUUUCAUUUGUGAGAGAGAAAAUAUUUGACAAUCACGAAAACAACAACAAUUCACUCCCAUAAACAACAUAAUAGAUACAUGGUCUAUAUUGCAAGUCCUUUUAUGAUUUUAAUUAAAAGAGAAAAUGCAAAGGACAUAUUAUAUAUAAUUGAAUGUUCUCCUUGAUAAUCAGUCAAAAUAACACCAAUCUGGCUAACUAAUACAAUCAUCAUAAUUAUCCAAUUUUCAUUUUAAUUAUGUCCAAUCAUGCUAAUUUAAUAAAUAACACUGAAGACAUGAGUAUUUAUAUGUUCAACGACUUUGGCUGAGUAUGAAAAAUAUAAAAGCUGCAUUUUUGCUUUGUGUUACUGUAGGACAUGACCAUAUUAUGUUGCAUUUGUCAGAAAACUGAAAAUUAUCGAAAAGGAUCCUAAAAGAGAUGUGUUGAAUUGUGAGCUUAAAAAUGAGUUUUAGAAGUUUCUGACAUGUCGGUUUGUAUCCUUGAUUGUGCACGCCCUGUUGGUUUCUGGAUGAAACAGGAGAAUAUGACAUCUGUGUAUUGUCUUUUACUUGCAGUAAGUGAAUCACAUGUUCUUCACAUGAUUUGACAUACUUUAUACGGAUUUAGCAGUUGUUUUGGUCACUUAUUGAAGCACGAGUUAAGCUCGUGAUUCAAGGUUGUUAACUGACCGUUGUAAGGCGGGAAAAUUCUGGGUUUCUUACAACAAACCCAGAAGGCAGCUGGUGAGUGUGAGAUGUUUCUAGAUUCUUCAUGAUCUGUAUAUAUAGUCUUAGAGGCUAUAGUUGAGCCAUAUGAAAAGCUUGCAACUUCUUAAUGUUUGUAGCUUGGUCUUGGUAAUUGCUUUGACGAGGGAAGUGAGCUAAAAUGAUAUCAACUUUUAUUUAUGGACAGGUUAAGAAAAUUUUUGAGUUCCUGAAAAAUGGCUUCCAUGAGAUCAGCAGUUCUUUGGAUUUAUCUUUCGAAUAUGAUUUGGUUGCUGAUGAGAAAAUUCCAUUCCUAGCUUAUCUUGCCAGUGUUCUAAAGGAGCAUUCCUUUUUCCCAUAUGAGCCACCAGCUGGAAGCAAAAGAUUCAGGAAUCUGAUUGCUGACUUCAUGAAAAUGUACCACCAUAUUCCACUAAAUGCUGAUGUGAGAAAACCUUCACCACUCAUCUGUUUUUUUACUUCUCUAGACAAGUAAUUUUUGUAUUGUCUGUCCUAGAUUCUGUUUUCCCUGAUGCAUUAUUUCAAUUUCUUUGCACGUGAAGUCCUAGGAUCUGUUUCCCCUGAUGCAUUAUUUCAAUUUCUUUGCAUGUGAACUUGGAGCAUUCAUAUUAGUUUAGGAGUGAAUCUAUUGGUCAUUUACUUGUUUGUAACAAAUAACAUAUGAAACAAUCUUGUUAUUUUUUAUUCUCCAUAUGUAGAGCUCUAUGGACCAAUCGCUUGUCUUCUGUUAUCCUCAUUAGAAUUUCUUCAGACUACUUCCACUUCAUGCUAUUUGUGAUAAUUUGUAUUGUUUUUGUGGUUUUUCGUAUGUCUGUUGGACAAAUACUGUAAUAUGAAAUUUUAUCUAAUGGUGUCCUUUAUUCCUUUUGCAUCCUGUCCCCUCUAGUAGUUAAAUGUAUUUUUGGAUUUGUCAAUUUAUUUGAUUUGAUGAAAUCUUGAUUCUCAUGUUAUCUAUCUGUUUAUCCAACUUGACCAUGGAAUGUGUUGUUGCUGUGAGUUACGCUGCACGUCCUUGUUAUUCGUCUAGUCUUUUUAUGUAAACAUACGGGUUUGGAUGUACUCGUAUAUAUACUGGACCUGAGAUAUUUGCACCUGACUUACUUAUUGAUGUAUGUGUAAAAUGAAGAACUUUUUGAGAUCUGGAAUGGAUCAAGACCUGCAAUUUUUAUUUGUAGAUUUUCCACUCUCCAUUUCAAUUAUAAAAGACAGUUUGUGAAUGCUGCAUGAAUAAGCUAGCCAAACUUAAAGAUGCUUAAUUGCCUCUUUCUCUUCUUUUGUAUACGAGUAAAACAAUCCACAUUCCUAACUUUUCUUCUCCACUUGUUUCUCAAGAAUGUUGUCUUUCCUUCAAGAGCUGUGUGGCAAUUGUGAAUGCUCUUCGAUUGUUUUCACCUCGCCUCAAACAUCUAACCAGACACUUACCGAAGCAAUGGUUAACAAGUUUAGCAAUCAAGGUAUGAUCUAUUUCUGAUUGAUUUUUGUGUUAUUUUUGACAUAGUUGAAGAUGUCAUUUUUUGGCAGAUUUUCUUUGCUAUUCUUGGAACAAGUAAUAGUGCUUAUUGCCUUGUUUGCACACAUACUAGUCUAAGACACAAGACAGAAGUUUUUGGAUGAUGAAAUAUCUGAUAUGAACUCAGCACAUUGUUUACCUGUUGCCUUUAUUCCUCAAGUGACAGUAAAAACUAGUAAUUGCAGUAGAUGAUAUAUUUAAUGAAAAUUACUGGGCAGCCAGACUUUUGUGUUGACAUUGAAGGGGGAGAUGGACAAAAGUCGAAGUAAUACAAUGAGUGCUGAGUUGGAACAUGUUAAUGCUCAUUUGUAAAAUGGGUGAGGAUCACAGUGCCAAAGCUUGCAGCCUAAGGUUAUCAACAUUGAUGAAGAGGCUAGUAAUUCUUCCGGUGAAGAUAUUAACGCCACGAAAGCUCAAUGUAAUUGAUUAAAUGAAGAAGUGCUUGCUUUGCUUGAUGUGCUAUUCGUUUAUGAUCUUUUCCUGGUUUUGUUGUGAGAUGUUUCUCUUUGGA
This 20834-nucleotide long non-coding RNA is filed under the name Citrus x clementina. RNAcentral's name for it is "Citrus clementina (C. clementina) long non-coding RNA (CCLE_LNC002283)". The record is from RNAcentral. Lineage: Eukaryota; Viridiplantae; Streptophyta; Magnoliopsida; Sapindales; Rutaceae.